This 642-nucleotide ribosomal RNA is filed under the name uncultured bacterium. RNAcentral's name for it is "bacterial SSU rRNA". It matches the Rfam family "Bacterial small subunit ribosomal RNA", at positions 65 to 715 of the family's 1533-position model. The record is from RNAcentral.
AACGGGAUCUCUUUCGGGAGACGACCGUGGCGGACGGGUGAGUAAACACGUGGAGAACCUGCCCACAGGGCGGGGGGAUAACCCUGGGAAACCGGGGCUAAUACCGCAUGAGCUUGGCUGGUGAUAGGCCGGUCAAGGAAAGGGCCUCGUAUGAGGUCGCCUGUGGAGGGCUCUGCGGCCUAUCAGCUAGAUGGUGGGGUAACGGCCUACCAUGGCGAUGACGGGUAGCUGGUCUGAGAGGACGAUCAGCCACACGGGGACUGAGACACGGCCCCGACUCCUACGGGAGGCAGCAGCAAGGAAUAUUCCACAAUGGGCGCAAGCCUGAUGGAGCGACGCCGCGUGGUGGAUGACGCCCUUCGGGGUGUAAACACCUUUUCUCAGUGACGAAGCAAGUGACGGUAGCUGAGGAAGAAGCACCGGCUAACUACGUGCCAGCAGCCGCGGUAAGACGUAGGGUGCAAGCGUUGUCCGGAGUUACUGGGCGUAAAGGGCGCGUAGGCGGCGUGUCGCGUCGCACGUGAAAGCCCCCGGCUCAACCGGGGAGGGUCGUGCGAAACGGGCAUGCUGGAGGCAGCGAGAGGCGAGUGGAAUUCCCGGUGUAGUGGUGAAAUGCGUAGAUAUCGGAAGGAACACCAGUGG